RNAcentral lists this transfer RNA (74 nucleotides) under Spirochaetes bacterium RIFOXYC1_FULL_54_7. Its description in RNAcentral is "tRNA-Arg". It matches the Rfam family "tRNA". Rfam says of the family: Transfer RNA (tRNA) molecules are approximately 80 nucleotides in length. Their secondary structure includes four short double-helical elements and three loops (D, anti-codon, and T loops). Lineage: Bacteria; Pseudomonadati; Spirochaetota. RNAcentral also lists the same sequence under 1 other name. The record is from RNAcentral.
GACUCGGUAGCUCAGUUGGAUAGAGCGAUUGCCUCCUAAGCAAUAGGUCGCUGGUUCGAUUCCAGUCCGGGUCA